GGUGGUUAGCCAGGUGUACCCUUCCCCUCUCACUGCUCCAUGUACUUCCCUCCCCCAAAGCUCAGUUCAAGAGGACAACCAUUCCAUCCAGUGGAGGACUGCUCUUUGGCCAAGGGUAUAUGAUUAGCUGUGCUCCCCUGCAGAACCUCCAAACAAGCUCUCAAAAAUGUCAGUUUUUCCCAGGUUUAUCUACCUAUUCAAUACAAUCGUAGCAAGCUGUUCUGAAGGUUUCAGCAAACUGAUUUU
RNAcentral lists this small RNA (246 nucleotides) under Castor canadensis (American beaver). RNAcentral describes it as "7SK RNA (ENSCCNG00000014255.1)". It matches the Rfam family "7SK RNA", at positions 70 to 331 of the family's 331-position model. Rfam says of the family: 7SK was discovered as an abundant small nuclear RNA in the mid-70s but a possible function has only recently been suggested. Two independent studies have found that 7SK RNA binds the CDK9/cyclin T complex (known as elongation factor P-TEFb). Lineage: Eukaryota; Metazoa; Chordata; Mammalia; Rodentia; Castoridae. The record is from RNAcentral.